Molecule: ribosomal RNA, 441 nt
Filed under: uncultured bacterium
Lineage: Bacteria
Description: bacterial SSU rRNA
Rfam family: Bacterial small subunit ribosomal RNA
Source: RNAcentral
ACGAACGCUGGCGGCAGGCCUAACACAUGCAAGUCGAACGCGAAGCUACCUUCGGGUAGUGGAGAGUGGCAGACGGGUGAGUAACGCGUGGGAAUCUACCCAAUGGUACGGAAUAACUCAGGGAAACUUGAGCUAAUACCGUAUGUGCCCGAAAGGGGAAAGAUUUAUCGCCAUUGGAUGAGCCCGCGUCGGAUUAGCUAGUUGGUGGGGUAACGGCCCACCAAGGCGACGAUCCGUAGCUGGUCUGAGAGGAUGAUCAGCCACACUGGGACUGAGACACGGCCCAGACUCCUACGGGAGGCAGCAGUGGGGAAUAUUGGACAAUGGGCGCAAGCCUGAUCCAGCCAUGCCGCGUGAGUGAUGAAGGCCCUAGGGUUGUAAAGCUCUUUCGACGGGGACGAUAAUGACGGUACCCGUAGAAGAAGCCCCGGCUAACUUCGU